AAUUCUCAAAACCCUUUUCUUUGACCCCCUUUUCGGUCUAGAAGAGAGGAUUUUGGACUUGGAGGUUUGAUGCUUGCUUUUGGGUCUCAAAAGUGAGCUCCUCUCAAAUGAAUUAGUGGGGUCUGCUUUGCUGGUCCUUGACGUGAUAAGAUGUUUUGACGUUUUGGACUUGGCAUGGUCUAUUGGACACCUGCUUCUAACUGUCCAUCUCGUGGACAAAUGAUGGUGCUCUGGUCUCCUCCACCCACGUUGGCGGGGAGGCUGGACCCACAAAGAAAA
Molecule: unclassified non-coding RNA, 279 nt
Filed under: uncultured Russulaceae
Lineage: Eukaryota; Fungi; Basidiomycota; Agaricomycetes; Russulales; Russulaceae
Description: sequence contains ITS2
Source: RNAcentral